GCUUGGAUAGCUCACUUGGUUAGAACGUGGUGCAAAUAGCGCUAAGGUUGCAGGUUCGAUCCAGCUGCAUAUUCGUGCA
Podarcis lilfordi (Lilford's wall lizard) is the source of this 79-nucleotide non-coding RNA. The record is from the annotation of a GenBank genome assembly. NCBI's taxonomy places the organism in Eukaryota, Metazoa, Chordata, Lepidosauria, Squamata, Lacertidae.